CAUUUCUCCACAGUUUACUGCUUGCUUCAACAAAUGGGACAAAGACACUUCGCUGGAGAGCCAUCAGAGGACAGUUCAAGAAAAUGCCUAUCUUGACACACAGGAGACAAACACUGGAAAGAAGUGAGCCACCUGGAGAUGUGCCCUCUGGACGAGGAGGAGGCUUGUUAGCAAAAGUGAGAGCUUUGUUUAGGUAAAGAAAGGGAUCCAGCUGCAGAGAGAGGAAGCUGGUGCUGGUUAGUGCCUCUCAUGUGUAACCGCUCACCUAUAUCAUAUCUACUGCACACUGGGGCUUCUUCAAAGUCGACAUGCGCUAACGCACUAAAUCU
Long non-coding RNA from Mus caroli (Ryukyu mouse), 329 nucleotides. RefSeq lists it as uncharacterized. The record is from RefSeq and is a predicted model, not a curated record. NCBI's taxonomy places the organism in Eukaryota, Metazoa, Chordata, Mammalia, Rodentia, Muridae.